CCCUCUCAAGACAUGUGGAGAUUAUGGGAACUACAAUUCAAGAUGAGACUUGGUUGGGGACACAGCCAAACUAUAUAAACAUCUAACAGGAAUCCUUGGUUAGAGCUUCUGCAUCUGCUUGCAGAUGGGAGAAGAGAGUGAGAAAGAAAAGUGGCCAAAUUCAAAUACCUGUGGCACGUUCAAGUGGGAAAAUAAAGAAGAAAAAGCCCAUACCACUUCAGUCUUUUUUGAUUAUAUUAAAUAUCCAGAGUUGAUGAGCUGGAGAAUGCGACUGGCAGCACAGGCCUAGGGCACCAGAGGGCAGACUGUACAGAGACCUGUGAGAAUGGUCAGAACUCCAUGGAUCAUGAUGGAAUGAUCAGGGACACUAUAAUAGCGUUCAUUUUAUGUAUUAAGCCAGAUUUGCACAACAAUUCCAUUGUAAUACAAAUGUAAUCUUUAGAAGUAAUUUUAAAGCAGCAAAUGUAGAAAUGCCAACUCUCAAGUAAAAGAAAACAAUUUUCCUAAGCCAAAUGUCUUUUGUAAGAGAUUUCAAUGGUCAUUUGAUUUUAGUUUAAAGAUCAUCUGACCUUAUGAUUCACCCGAUUCUUAAAUGCACAUCUCAAAUAUAAUUGUCUUCAUUUGGAGUUAAUGUAUAAAAAAUAAAAACAGUGAAAUAA
This 659-nucleotide long non-coding RNA is filed under the name Homo sapiens (human). Its description in RNAcentral is "HSALNT0328208". The record is from RNAcentral. Lineage: Eukaryota; Metazoa; Chordata; Mammalia; Primates; Hominidae.